This 376-nucleotide ribosomal RNA is filed under the name uncultured prokaryote. RNAcentral describes it as "bacterial SSU rRNA". It matches the Rfam family "Bacterial small subunit ribosomal RNA", at positions 524 to 896 of the family's 1533-position model. The record is from RNAcentral.
CACGUAGGGGGCAAGCGUUGUCCGGAUUCAUUGGGCGUAAAGAGCUCGUAGGCGGUUCGAUAAGUCGGGUGUGAAACCUCCAGGCUCAACCUGGAGACGCCACCCGAUACUGUUGUGACUAGAGUCCAGUAGAGGAGCGUGGAAUUCCUGGUGUAGCGGUGAAAUGCGCAGAUAUCAGGAGGAACACCAGCAGCGAAGGCGGCGCUCUGGGCUGGCACUGACGCUGAGGAGCGAAAGCGUGGGGAGCGAACAGGAUUAGAUACCCUGGUAGUCCACGCCGUAAACGUUGGGUACUAGGUGUGGGGUCUUAUCAACGGAUUCCGUGCCGAAGCUAACGCAUUAAGUACCCCGCCUGGGGAGUACGGCCGCAAGGCUA